UGGGGAAUAUUGAACAAUGGGCGCAAGCCUGAUGCAGCCAUGCCGCGUGUAUGAAGAAGGCCUUCGGGUUGUAAAGUACUUUCAGUCGGGAGGAAGGUGGUAAGGUUAAUAACCUUGGCAAUUGACGUUACCGACAGAAGAAGCACCGGCUAACUCCGUGCCAGCAGCCGCGGUAAUACGGAGGGUGCAAGCGUUAAUCGGAAUUACUGGGCGUAAAGCGCACGCAGGCGGUUGAUUGAGUCAGAUGUGAAAUCCCCGGGCUUAACCCGGGAAUUGCAUCUGAUACUGGUCAGCUAGAGUCUUGUAGAGGGGGGUAGAAUUCCAUGUGUAGCGGUGAAAUGCGUAGAGAUGUGGAGGAAUACCGGUGGCGAAGGCGGCCCCCUGGACAAAGACUGACGCUCAGGUGCGAAAGCGUGGGGAGCAAACAGG
This 429-nucleotide ribosomal RNA is filed under the name Chloroflexota bacterium. Its description in RNAcentral is "Chloroflexi bacterium partial 16S ribosomal RNA". It matches the Rfam family "Bacterial small subunit ribosomal RNA", at positions 355 to 776 of the family's 1533-position model. Lineage: Bacteria; Bacillati; Chloroflexota. The record is from RNAcentral.